AACGAACGCUGGCGGCAUGCCUAACACAUGCAAGUCGAACGAGACCUUCGGGCAUCGUGGCGCACUGGUGCGUAACGCGUGGGAACCUGCUCUUAGGUUCGGAAUAGCUUCCCGAAAGGGGUUCUAAUACCGGAUCAUGUCCUCAGACCAAAGAUUUGUCGCCUUUGGAUGGGCCCGCGUUUGAUUAGCUAGUUGGUAGGGUAAAAGCCUAUCAAGGCGACGAUCCAUAGCUGGUAUGAGAGGAUGAGCAGCCACACUGGGACUGAGACACGGCCGAGACUACUACGGGAGGCAGCAGUGGGGAAUAUAGGAAAGUGGGGGAAAGGCUGAUGCAGCAAUGCCGCGUGAGUGAUGAAGGCCUUAGGGUUGUAAAGAUCUUUUACCCGGGAUGAUAAUGACAGUACCGGGAGAAUAAGCUCCGGCUAACUCCGUG
RNAcentral lists this ribosomal RNA (433 nucleotides) under uncultured bacterium. RNAcentral describes it as "partial 16S ribosomal RNA". It matches the Rfam family "Bacterial small subunit ribosomal RNA", at positions 29 to 507 of the family's 1533-position model. The record is from RNAcentral.